UACGAAGGGGGCUAGCGUUGCUCGGAAUUACUGGGCGUAAAGCGCACGUAGGCGGCGAUCCAAGUUAGAUGUGAAAGGCCUGGGCUUAACCCGGGAACUGCAUUUGAUACUGGAUUGCUAGAGUCCAAGAGAGGGUAGUGGAAUUCCCAGUGUAGAGGUGAAAUUCGUAGAUAUUGGGAAGAACACCAGUGGCGAAGGCGGCUACCUGGCUUGGUACUGACGCUCAGGUGCGAAAGCGUGGGGAGCGAACAGG
RNAcentral lists this unclassified non-coding RNA (253 nucleotides) under uncultured Rhodospirillales bacterium. RNAcentral's name for it is "contains 16S-23S intergenic spacer region". It matches the Rfam family "Bacterial small subunit ribosomal RNA", at positions 524 to 776 of the family's 1533-position model. Lineage: Bacteria; Pseudomonadati; Pseudomonadota; Alphaproteobacteria; Rhodospirillales. The record is from RNAcentral.